GGGAUAGAGCGCCAUGGCUACGGGUUUCACGGAGUGGCGACUCGUGAGAUAACCUGAAGGAUCUCUUCUCUCGCUGGUGAUCCUCUCCAAUCUCUCUCAAUCAACUGCUACUACAAUAAGGCCUUCAUUUGACGUAAGUUCGGGCUGCCGGUCAAUGUUCGUGCUGGCUACGAGCAUGAAAGUUUUGUCUGGUCUUUCACUUCUUUCACCCAGUUGUUGAAAGAUUCGGAGAGAUUGUUAUUGAUGUAGUCUACCUUGCAAUAAUCAGAAAAUUUGCUUAUACUCCACAAGUAGGGAUGAUUCUCAUCUAAAAAGGCAACUGCUUUAAGGCACUCCUGUAUCCUGGCCAUAUGCUAAUUAAACUUCUCAAUAGUGUAACUCUUGGCAGAGGAGGAGUAUAUGAGUUUGAAGUACUUUGUUCCUCACUGCAGGGUGACACCUAUGUUUUGUGGGUGAAAACUGUAAUGGCCCUUCAAAGUCAUUGAUUUGGGCAUCAAUGCGAACAACUCUACACUCUUGGUUGAGCUCAAACCACCGGAAUAGUUGUUCAUCACUUUUAA
Molecule: long non-coding RNA, 560 nt
Organism: Panicum hallii
Lineage: Eukaryota; Viridiplantae; Streptophyta; Magnoliopsida; Poales; Poaceae
Exons: 3
Source: RefSeq, a predicted model, not a curated record